GACGAACGCUGGCGGCGUGCUUAACACAUGCAAGUCGAACGGAAAGGCCCUGCUUUUGUGGGGUGCUCGAGUGGCGAACGGGUGAGUAACACGUGAGUAACCUGCCCUUGACUUUGGGAUAACUUCAGGAAACUGGGGCUAAUACCGGAUAGGAGCUCCUGCUGCAUGGUGGGGGUUGGAAAGUUUCGGCGGUUGGGGAUGGACUCGCGGCUUAUCAGCUUGUUGGUGGGGUAGUGGCUUACCAAGGCUUUGACGGGUAGCCGGCCUGCGAGGGUGACCGGCCACAUUGGGACUGAGAUACGGCACAGACUCCUACGGGAGGCAGCAGUGGGGAAUAUUGCACAAUGGGCGGAGGCCUGAUGCAGCAACGCCGCGUGCGGGAUGACGGCCUUCGGGUUGUAAACCGCUUUCGCCUGUGACGAAGCGUGAGUGACGGUAAUGGGUAAAGAAGCACCGGCUAACUACGUG
This 468-nucleotide ribosomal RNA is filed under the name uncultured bacterium. Its description in RNAcentral is "partial 16S ribosomal RNA". It matches the Rfam family "Bacterial small subunit ribosomal RNA", at positions 28 to 507 of the family's 1533-position model. The record is from RNAcentral.